UGGGGAAUUUUCCGCAAUGGGUGAAAGCCUGACGGAGCAACGCCGCGUGAGGGACGAAGGCCUCUGGGCUGUAAACCUCUUUUCUCAAGGAAGAAGAUAUGACGGUACUUGAGGAAUAAGCCACGGCUAAUUCCGUGCCAGCAGCCGCGGUAAUACGGGAGUGGCAAGCGUUAUCCGGAAUUAUUGGGCGUAAAGCGUCCGCAGGCGGCUUUUCAAGUCUGCUGUUAAAGCGUGGAGCUUAACUCCAUCAUGGCAGUGGAAACUGAAAGGCUUGAGUAUGGUAGGGGCAGAGGGAAUUCCCGGUGUAGCGGUGAAAUGCGUAGAUAUCGGGAAGAACACCAGUGGCGAAGGCGCUCUGCUGGGCCAUUACUGACGCUCAUGGACGAAAGCCAGGGGAGCGAAAGGGAUUAGAUACCCCUGUAGUCA
Molecule: ribosomal RNA, 426 nt
Filed under: uncultured cyanobacterium
Lineage: Bacteria; Bacillati; Cyanobacteriota
Description: bacterial SSU rRNA
Rfam family: Bacterial small subunit ribosomal RNA
Source: RNAcentral